GCUCCUCCCCCGCAGAAAGCUAGCUAGCCACAAGGAAGGAAAAGCUGAAAACUUAACAGGAAAGAGUACCUCCUGAGAGAAGGAAUUUCAGAGCCUGGCACUGCAGUCAACAAGCAACUCCUCUGGCGGUGGUGAGCCACAAAGCAGACGCUCACCUGACCUUAACAAGACAGGAUCACAGAAUCCUCCCGAUGCCCCAAUGAGCCACAUUAUCAGUCAGACGUCUAAUCCUUGUUAGCAUCACUUGCUUCCACUGUCAGCUUACUGGGGCUUUCUUUCUACCAAUGCCUUCCUUGUCAUGGAUUCUUCCUGUCCCCAGGCAUGAAUAGGAAAGUACAAAGAGCCCUGCUGGAUCAGACCAAAGAUCCAUUUAGUCCAGCAUCCUGUUUUCCACAUAGUGACCAGCCAGAUGCUUCCAGAAAACCCUCCGAGUAUUGAAGGCAAAUGACCUCCCCCACUGUUCCCUCCCAGCAACUGAUCACUGUUCCCUCCCAGCAACUGAUCACAGCCAAGAACUGGUGACAGACAUGAGUGUGUCUAAUCCUCUUUUAAAGUCUUUUAAAUUAAAGCUAAUAGCCUCCA
Molecule: long non-coding RNA, 582 nt
Organism: Hemicordylus capensis (graceful crag lizard)
Lineage: Eukaryota; Metazoa; Chordata; Lepidosauria; Squamata; Cordylidae
Exons: 2
Source: RefSeq, a predicted model, not a curated record